ACGGGGGGUGCAAGCGUUGUUCGGAAUCAUUGGGCGUAAAGCGCGUGUAGGCGGCUUAACAAGUCAGUUGUGAAAUCCCUGGGCUUAACCCAGGAAGUGCAUGUGAAACUGUUUGGCUUGAGUAAGGGAGAGGUGAGUGGAAUUCCUGGUGUAGAGGUGAAAUCCUUUAAUACCAGGAGGACCACCGGUGGCGAAGGCGUCUCUCUGGCCCUAUACCGACAGUGAGGCGCGAAAGCGUGGGUAGCAAACAG
This 251-nucleotide ribosomal RNA is filed under the name uncultured prokaryote. RNAcentral describes it as "partial 16S rRNA". It matches the Rfam family "Bacterial small subunit ribosomal RNA", at positions 525 to 775 of the family's 1533-position model. The record is from RNAcentral.